This is an RNA transcript of Carassius auratus (goldfish), 4865 nucleotides long. It is a transcript of the gene named TBC1 domain family member 25-like, with no coding region annotated. Lineage: Eukaryota; Metazoa; Chordata; Actinopteri; Cypriniformes; Cyprinidae. The record is from RefSeq and is a predicted model, not a curated record. The transcript is spliced from 8 exons.
CUUGUAGCAAACGUAAUGCCCUCUUACUUACGUCAUGUGUGAUAUUAGACGAAUAAUAUAGACGAAACACUGAUUCCCUGAGUCAAUCAUACGCAAACCGUCAUUAAAAUACGUUUUAAGACGCGAAUGCCUUUUUCUGUCUUACACCGGGACUUUUAUUAUGACGUGUCAGCAGGAUAUUGGUUGUUUUUCGGUCUCUUAUUACCGGAGUUUUCAUUGAACCUGCGAGCAGUAAGAGAGGGGCAAACGGGUUCCCGCAUCCAUUGUUAUUUUACUUUCAUUUUUUUACCGGAUGACCACAACGCAUCUCUGAACGGGACGCCCAACGCGGACUACCCACCAUGUCUUCCGAGGAGGAGAGGGGGGUAGUUCGUGUUCAGGUCAAGAAGUGUGAAGGGGUGUUACCGCCGGAGUUUCGCUCCUUUGCUGUUGAUCCUCAAAUAACCUCACUGGAGGUGUUGCAGCAUAUCUUGAUACGAGCAUUUGAGCUGAAUGGAAAACGCAACUUUGGGAUAAGUUACCUGUCCCGUGACCAAGGAGGUGUGGAGGUCUACGUGUCUCUGCUGUCUGACUGGGAUUUAGAUGCAGCAUUUGUCAGUGCUGCAAAGCCCUUUCUCCAACUCAAGAUGGACAUCAGACCAUCAGAGGACAGUCCUGUUUUGGAGGACUGGGACAUAAUCAGUCCUAAGGAUGUGAUUGGCUCAGACCAGCUGCAGGGAGAGAAGAGGUCGUUGGCAUCUGCCGCACUUCCUUUCACACAGUCGCUGCUCUCCCAGGUGGGUCGCACUCUAUCGCGUGUGCAGCAGGCCUUGAGUUGGUCCUAUGGGGAGGAGGUGAAACCAUUCAAGCCUCCCUUAAAUGAUGCUGAGUUCCACAGUUACCUGAACAGCCAAGGUCAACUGACCCGACCAGAGGACCUUAGACUUCGUAUAUACCAUGGUGGGGUUGAGCCAUCCUUACGCAAGGUUGUUUGGCGAUACCUCCUUAAUGUGUACCCAGAUGGUCUCACAGGACAAGAGAGAAUGGACUACAUGAAGAGGAAAACAAGAGAGUACGACCAGCUCAAGAGCGAAUGGACAGAACGGGUCAGCACAGAGGACCUGGAGUUCAUCAGGGGAAACGUUCUGAAAGAUGUUCUUCGAACAGACAGAGCACAUCCUUACUAUGCAGGAUCAGAGGACAGCCCACAUCUAACCGCCUUGACAGACAUUCUCACCACCUUUGCUAUUACACACCCACAGGUGUCUUAUUGCCAAGGCAUGAGCGACAUUGCCUCGCCAAUUCUAGCUGUCAUGGACAACGAAGCUCAUGCCUUUAUCUGCUUCUGUGGCAUUAUGAAACGUCUUGAGGGCAACUUUCGCCCUGACGGACAACUUAUGUCCAUUAAGUUCCAGCAUCUGAAGUUGCUACUGCAGUAUUCAGACCCUGAGUUUUAUGCCUACCUAGUCUCAAAAGGUGCAGACGAUCUGUUUUUCUGUUACCGCUGGCUGCUUUUGGAGCUGAAGCGUGAAUUCGCUUUUGAUGAUGCUCUGAGAAUGCUUGAGGUCACCUGGAGCUCCUUGCCACCUGAUCCACCUGAGACAGAGGUGGAGCUUCAGGGGCUACCACAUGAGCCAGAUCAGUCCAGUGGCUCACAGAAUGUCCAUCAGAAUGUGGACAUGGAGGAGAUGGAAGAGAAGCAGAAGGAAAGGCAGAGGAGACGUCACAUGCUAAGACCAUCCCGAGAGGAGGCAGAUGGGGGACGUAGCCUCAUCGUAGAGGAGGAGGAGAAGAGGCCUCGGAAGGAAGGUGAAGGAGAGUUCGGUGUAGAUGACAUGGUCAAGAAUGAUGUCACAGCUCCAGUGCCCUCCUUUGAGAAACAGGCAAGUUUUGGGGAAUUCAAGUACUAUAGUGGCCGAAGUGAGGACAGCUUUGAUAUCAAUGAAAACGAUUGCUCUGAUCCUACAUUAUCUCCAGUACAGUUUCAGUCUGCACACUCCACGUUGCCAUUCUCUGUCCGCCAGUCCACAGAGGAAAGUGAGGAUGACCCUGGAGAGCAGGAACCUCUCAUCGGUAAUCUUACGCCUUCUUCUCCAGGACAAAGAGACUCUCCCAAUGGUCAAGCUGCUUCCCCAGCAUCAUCUCUUCCUUCCGGCCUACCAAAUUGGAAGAGUAGCUCUAAUCAUUCACCGGAAGCAUCUAAUUCUCCAUCUAGCUGGAGAACGGCAUCUCCCGAUGACCUUUCAAAAUGCACAACCUCUUCCUCUAGUGGGGACAAAGCGGUGUCUCCUGAUAAACCUCCUGGGGGGUUCACGUCCUCACAAACUGAGGCUCAGUCCCCAUCAGUGGUCCCAGGGAAAUCUUUCCUGGCGUCUCCAUCGCAGAGUUACAAUCGUUCGCGUCUCUCUUCUCCGGUUUUAUCCUUCGGCAAAUCCCCAUCUCUGCCCAAAGCGUUUUACAGCAAUCUUCCCUCACCAUGCAGGCCCACCGCCUCUGUCAUAACCUCUCCAAACACAAACAAACCAGAAGGAGGAGGAAUGAAACCCUGCUCGCUUCCUCCUCCUCAAGAGUUUGGGAAAGGGAAUCCCUUCAUGCUUUUCCUUUGCCUGUCUAUCCUGCUGGAACAUCGUGACCACAUUGUCAAAAACAGCCUGGAUUACAAUGAGCUGGCCAUGCACUUUGACCGCCUGGUCCGUCGCCACAACCUUGGGCGUAUUCUGCACCGAGCUAAAGCCCUCUUUGCAGACUACCUGCAGAGUGAGGUAUGGGACUCGGAGGAAGGGGAUGAAGUCAGCUUGGACUCCCCAACCACAGCAGCAACAUCCCCCCAGACACCCACCACUAGACCUCCUUUCCUCAAUGUACAGCCCUCUCAGGGUACCUUAUCGAAUUCAACAUAUAAUCUAGCCAAUACCAUUCCCUCUCCAACAACUCCUGUUGCCCUCUCUCCAUCUGAUUCCUGAUCCUGUGCAGUAGUAGAUUAUCUCGAGAAACCAGCUGUUGACCACAGUUGCAGUCACAGCACAACUUUGUGCUUUACACAUGCUUAAUGAGACUUGUGUUGUUUUAUAUCAACAACCAAAGCUUAGUGACUUUCUCAUCUCAUGAUUUUCUCCCUGUCCAUCAAGUCAAGUCCCUUUUAUUGUACUGUAUCUUUUUUAUUGCACUUUAUUGAUUGUCCUUUGAAAGGGCAGGCCAGUUUGAGUCUCAUUUCACUUUGUAAAUAACACUUUUGAAAGGCACAUUACGGACAUAUAAAACAUGUUAUAGUAAUCUAACUUACCUAAAACAAAGCAACAAGAUUAUACUGUUAUUUAUGCAAAAUGUGUGCAAUCUUUAUUUCGGUAAAAAGGAUGUCAUUUGUUGUAGGGAAGUGAACAUUUACUCAAGUAAAGAUUUUGAGAUGCUCCCUGAAAUUUAUUAUGAAUUUGUUUGACAUUGCCAGCAGCAAAGGUGUAUUUGUUAUUCCAGAUAUUUGUUAUUUAUGCUUUUUAAGAGCCUUAAGCCUUGACAUUUGGUAAUAUGAAACAUCUGGCCUGAGAUGGUGCUGAUGUUUUAUCCAGUAUCCCGUCAAUGUGAAACCUUCUGUUGUAGAAUAGGUACACUCAGCCCCAAUCUUGAAUCGAUCUCUGAACUACCAGUAGAAAUCCUCUGCUUUUUGACCUUUCAGCUGUAACUCGUGCAGUGGAUGAUUUGGUAAAGCAGCACUCCUACUAAGAUGAACAAGGAGAAUGGCUGUGCUAAAAUGAUAGACCUCUGCACAUGGACUAAAAGGUGAUUUUCCUGAAAAGUGUAACAGUGGUGAGUCCAGUUUGUCAGCGUUGUCUAUACAUGUAUGUUUGUUUCUCUAAUUUUAGUUUGGUUCUGUAUGAUAGUAUUUUACACAAACCUAUGGAGAGACUUGCAAUACUCCUAUUUAUAAAAUAAAUUCACAGAAUAUUAAUUGAUUAUAGUGAUCUUUCUUUGCACACACAAAGAUUUUAAUGCAAUUCCUGCUGGAAAUGCUUCUUAAUCAGUUUUUUUGGAACAUGGUAGCUGGUUUCCAGCUGGUCUAAGAUGGUAGAGCGUCUCGGAGCAGCAACAGACUCCCAACUGGCUGGUCGAGCUGGUUUUUAAGAGUUUGAAAUAUAGUCACUCGGAUAAGUGAUGAUUACCAAGAGAAAGCUUUUGCUUUCCUGACUAAUUGACAUAAGUGGAUAUGGAUAUGCGUCUUGAUGUGGUAGUCAUAAGAUACCUGCUUAGGCAUUACAUUUUAGUUUUUAUUUAUUUAUUAUGGUGUUAUUAUGUUGCUUCUUGUAACAUCAUUGGCCUUGGAUAGUCUUGGAAGCAUUAUUGUUUGUAUCAAAAAAUUUUCGCUGUUGCCACCAGCGCCAUGUCAUGGAGAAGCUGUGUGUUUCCUUGUGAAUGCGAAACUACUUUGUUUGGUCUACCCAAAGAGGACACAACUAGAAUCCAGUGGUUAAGCUGUAAUUAUAACACUGUUCCAGAACAAUUCAACCCAAAUAUUAAGAUGAGCGCAGCCGUUUUAUGGAAUACUACUUCCUGAUCCUGGGAGAGAAGACUACAAUGUCGGCUGUUCUGACUCACAGCCUGUAAGUACAUUGAAAUAUUUAAGGAUUUAAGACUGAUGAUUCAAACGCGAGUUUUAAAGUAGUGUACAGUAGCUCUUGUUGUUUGUCUUUUCUCCCAUCAUAAGUGGCCUGUGAAGUGAACAUCCCGGGAUAUUCAGCCUUGAUUCCAGUUCGAAGCGUUGCAGAAGUAUGUGUUCCAUUCAAAUGUAUAUCUGUAACAUAAACAUAUGAUGUACUUAUUAAUUGGGCUAAUUUCCAUUUCUUAUGUGUAAUUUAAAUUGUGGCACAAUAAACCAACUACAGUCAUCUUAAAAA